Molecule: unclassified non-coding RNA, 391 nt
Filed under: soil metagenome
Description: partial contains 5.8S ribosomal RNA, internal transcribed spacer 2, and large subunit ribosomal RNA
Rfam family: 5.8S ribosomal RNA (bases 1-122)
Source: RNAcentral
GAUGAAGAACGUAGCGAAAUGCGAUACUUGGUGUGAAUUGCAGAAUCCCGUGAACCAUCGAGUCUUUGAACGCAAGUUGCGCCCGAAGCCAUUAGGCCGAGGGCACGCCUGCCUGGGCGUCACACGUCGUUGCCCCCCCAUCUACUCCUUCGGGAUUGCGGGGGGCGGAUGAUGGCCUCCCGUGCGCCUCGUCGCGCGGUUGGCAUAAAUGCCAAGUCCUCGGCGACGCACGCCCCGACAAUCGGUGGUUGCGAAACCUCGGUUGCCCGUUGUGUGCGGUCGUCGCGCAUCGAGGGCUCGAAAAAAUUGCCGGGCUCCGGCUCGACUUUCAACGCGACCCCAGGUCAGGCGGGGUUACCCGCUGAAUUUAAGCAUAUCAAUAAGCGGAGGA